AGUGGCGGACGGGUGAGUAACGCGUAGGAAUCUACCUGAUAGUGGGGGAUAGCCCGAAGAAAUUCGGAUUAAUACCGCAUAAUCUAUUCGUAGUAAAGUGGGGGACUUUCGAGCCUCACGCUAUCAGAUGAGCCUGCGUAAGAUUAGCUAGUUGGUAGGGUAAAAGCCUACCAAGGCUACGAUCUUUAGCUGGUCUGAGAGGGUGAUCAGCCACAUCGGGACUGAGACACGGUCCGAACUCCUACGGGAGGCAGCAGUGGGGAAUAUUGGACAAUGGGGGCAACCCUGAUCCAGCAAUACCGCGUGUGUGAAGAAGGCCUGAGGGUUGUAAAGCACUUUCAAUUGUGAAGAAAAGCUAGUGGUUAAUAGCCAUUAGCCUUGACGUUAACUUUAGAAGAAGCACCGGCUAACUCCGUGCCAGCAGCCGCGGUAAUACGGAGGGUGCAAGCGUUAAUCGGAAUUACUGGGCGUAAAGCGUGCGUAGGCGGUUUAUUAAGUCAGAUGUGAAAGCCCCGGGCUUAACCUGGGAACUGCAUUUGAAACUGGUCAACUAGAGUAUGGUAGAGGAAAGUGGAAUUUCUGGUGUAGCGGUGAAAUGCGUAGAUAUCAG
Molecule: ribosomal RNA, 610 nt
Filed under: uncultured bacterium
Lineage: Bacteria
Description: bacterial SSU rRNA
Rfam family: Bacterial small subunit ribosomal RNA
Source: RNAcentral